Long non-coding RNA from Cyprinus carpio (common carp), 1475 nucleotides. NCBI's taxonomy places the organism in Eukaryota, Metazoa, Chordata, Actinopteri, Cypriniformes, Cyprinidae. The record is from Ensembl.
AGAGCACUGAUCAGGGAUAGUGACUGACUGACACUGCUGCAAAAACUCUACAGUCAGCAAAAUACAAACAGGUUUUAGAUACAGAGACAGCAGAACAGCAUGGCCACUGCGAAUGAAAAAGACACAGUGUGGAUCGGGUUCAUGGAUAUCGUUCCGGUCAUCGGGAAGGUAAAAGAGGCAGUGGAGCUGGUGCUGGCUCUGUACGAAGGGAAUAAAGCGGUGAUAAAGGAGAAAGAGAAGGCCGUUGAAAACAUUGUGAAAAAGAUGACUAAAUCAGCAGCAUUUCCAGCUGAUAAAUCAGCAGCAUUUCCAGCUGAUAAAACAGCAGCAGCUGCAGCUGAAUUUUCUGGACUCGGAAAUGUGAGAGAGGUCAGAAUGGAAAUGGUUAUUGUACAUCUGGCCCAAGCUUUCACAAGGGGAAAAAAAGUUCAAACUUCAGCUGAGCAGAAAAGUGAGCAGAAAGACAGACAGAAAAAAAUGGAGUACAUUAAGAAAGACAUGUUAGAAAAGAUCCAUAUGAUCGAUCCAAACUUCAAUGAGGAGCUGAAGGAAGAACUGAGAAGGUCACAAAGAGGCGAACAUGUCUUCAACAAUAACAUUCUUAAAUUUCAUUGCAAAGUGCUAGAUGAUUUUAUACAAGAACAAAAUAUUGAUAAUCUACAAAGAUAUAAUCCGCAGGAAAUGGAUACAUUACGCAGACAGACACUUACCCAAAAUGCAGAAGAAGAAAUUCAGACAAACAUGGUGGUUCACUUUGGUGAGGAUGAAUUCUAUGUGAAUGCAAAUGCAGUGAUAUAUGGUGUAUAUUGCAGAGCACUGCGUGGUGCUUUGUUAAAUGUGCUGCGCCACAUAAACCCAGGUGAGGUGGCAGAAGAGAAGAGACAUUGGGUGAAUUUUGUCAUAAAUACUAUGAAUAACUAUGAAAUCUAUGUGGACCAAAUGGCAAAGGUCCGUUGGAUUGCCAAUAUAGAGACUAGACGGGCCCGGUUUGAACGGGUAAAACAGGAAGUUGUGACCAUGUAUAACACAGAUCGUGGGUAUGACUGGUGCAUUAGCAUUCUGCAUGAAGUUGCAGGUUUGUUUGAACAUAGACAGUGAGUUCAUUUCUCCUGUUCAGGGUUGCCAGGUUUCCUUUCAAAAUUUCCAUCUUAACUACAUCCUAAAUCCCACAGACCUGAAACUAGCUGAAAGUUUGGACACUGGAAGAAACAAAGUUCACUGUGGUGCACACAUAUUUGUAUGUUUGCAAUGUUUCCAACACACUUAGGGUCAGAGUUUUGUCACCCAUAGCCUGUUACAACUGUUAUUUUUUAUUUUAUUUAUUUCAUUUAUUUGUACAGGGACAACGUACAACAACAGUGUCAUGCCAGAGUUAGCUAUAAAGCUAAUUUGUAUCUGCAAUCCCUGGGCAGGAUGUUCUUACAAAAUUACAAUAUUAAGUGACAAACAAUACAAUAAAUAUUACACAUACAACA